RNAcentral lists this unclassified non-coding RNA (1419 nucleotides) under Polistes dominula (European paper wasp). Its description in RNAcentral is "uncharacterized LOC107065701, transcript variant X1". The record is from RNAcentral. Lineage: Eukaryota; Metazoa; Arthropoda; Insecta; Hymenoptera; Vespidae.
UCAUCGAUAUAAAUACAUAAUAAAGUAAAAUUGUCAAUGAUUGUCAACACUAUUGUUUUAUAUUUUAAUCGGUGAUAUGGCUCGCUCCUCAAUUUCGGCACAGUGUGAUUCUGUUGCUUCCUACAUGGAUGGAGUUCAUGUUAAAAUCGUGGAAGCAUACAAGCCACCACGAAAAGUUGCUUUGCCAGCAGUGUACAAUAAUAAAUUACCAGAUAUAUCUAAAUUAGUAUAUAAUUUCAGCUUAGAAAAAUCCGUCCUUGAAAAGAUGGCAGAAUGGCGUAAAGCCAGAGAAGCAAAUAUCAAAGCACGUACAGCUCGAUUAGAAGAAAAAAAGAAAAGAGAAAAGGAGGAAUCUCCGCCAUCACCUCCACCUCUUCCGACAGAAGGAAUAAAACAGCCACCUGUCAAAGUUAUUCCACCGCCAGAAACAACAAUACUUACUCCGCAACCCUUGUCUCCGCCAGCAAAUGAUUUGCAAAAUCAUGUACAAUCUAAUGGACUUAACUAUGCAGAUUUUGAUAAUGACACAAGCAGUCCUUUUGAUAAUAUGGAAUUAAAAACUAUUAACGAUAUGGAAGAACUUGCACAGGUAUUGCAACCUACAUCGCAAUGGAUACCAUCUACCAAGUUAGAAAAUAUAAUAAACGAAUUAACUAUCGAAGAACAAUCUGUGGUUUGUGAGGAAGAAAAAGAAGAAAAUCUAAAUAUUAGUGCGCAUGGCGAUGAAGACACUGACCAAAAUAUUAAUGUUAAGCAUCGCAGUGUAUCAGCAAUUGUACAAGAACUUCAAAGGGAAUUGGAACGGCCUCCGAUGGAGAAUUGGAAACCUUGGCCUGAUUUGGAGAGUCCAGAUGCUGAUUCGUACAACAAACACAAACACGAACAUUUAUUAGUAUCGAAUAGUUCAAAUCAUACAAAUCCUCUUUCGAAUUUAAAAGGAGAAGAUCAGAAACUAGCUCAACAUCUAAGUGAUAUGGGAUUUCCUUUAUCACGAGCAGCACGUGCUAUAUGUGACCUCGGUGGUGAAGACAAUAAAAAAGUUGUAGAAUAUCUUCUAGCUAUUCAGUCUUUAGAAGAGACUGGUAUGUCUGGAGAGGAUGCAGAGAAAGCACUUACAUUAACACAUUAUGAUCCAAAUAAAGCAAAAAUAUAUUAUAAAAAUUUAUGCACAUUAAAGGAUUUAGGAUUUCCAGAAGAUCAAGCAUCUAUGGCAUUAUUGAAGUGUGAUAUUGAUAGAGAUAGAGCAUUAGACUUUCUUAUUUCUUAAGAUUUUAAUAGUUAAAUAUGUGCUUUAGUGAAAAACUUCUGACGUUGUGGAACUUCUACUCUUAUCAUAGCCUACUUAUAGCCUAGGAUAUUCACUGAAUCACCAGUAAUUGAUGUAUGAAUUUGAUAAGCCAAUUGGAUGAGGACAGGAUA